CCUACGGGAGGCAGCAGUCGAGAAUCAUUCACAAUGGGCGAAAGCCUGAUCGUGCGAAGCCGCGUGGGGGAAUGAAGGUCUUCGGAUUGUAAACCCCUGUCAUGUGGGAGCAAAUUAAAAGGAUAGUACCACAAGAGGAAGAGACGGCUAACUCUGUGCCAGCAGCCGCGGUAAUACAGAGGUCUCAAGCGUUGUCCGGAAUCACUGGGCGUAAAGCGUGCGUAGGCGGUUUCGUAAGGCGUGUGUGAAAGGCGCGGGCUCAACCCGCGGACUGCACAUGAUACUGCGAGACUAGAGUAGUGGAGAGGGAACCGGAAUGCGUGGUGUAGCAGUGAAAUGCGUAGAUAUCGAGAGGAACACUCGUGGCGAAGGCGGGUUCCUGGACAAUAACUGACGCUGAGGCACGAAGGCCAGGGGAGCGAAAGGGAUUAGAUACCCCAGUAGUC
RNAcentral lists this ribosomal RNA (446 nucleotides) under uncultured bacterium. RNAcentral describes it as "partial 16S ribosomal RNA". It matches the Rfam family "Bacterial small subunit ribosomal RNA", at positions 338 to 795 of the family's 1533-position model. The record is from RNAcentral.